GCAGCGGAGCGUGUGGUUUAAUUCGAUGCUACACGAAGAACCUUACCAGGGUUUGACAUGCAAGUGGUAGGAACCGAAAGGCGACCGACCUUCGGGAGCUUGCACAGGUGGUGCAUGGUUGUCGUCAGCUCGUGUCGUGAGAUGUUGGGUUAAGUCCCGCAACGAGCGCAACCCUCGACCUUAGUUGCCAGCAUUCAGUUGGGCACUCUAAGGUGACUGCCGGCUAAAAGUCGGAGGAAGGUGGGGAUGACGUCAAAUCAUCAUGCCCCUUAUGACCUGGGCUACACACGUGCUACAAUGGGCGGUACAAAGGGUCGCGAACCCGCGAGGGGGAGCCAAUCCCAAAAAGCCGCUCUCAGUUCGGAUUGCAGGCUGCAACUCGCCUGCAUGAAGCCGGAAUCGCUAGUAAUCGCGGAUCAGCAUGCCGCGGUCGAAUACGUUCCCGGGCCUU
RNAcentral lists this ribosomal RNA (451 nucleotides) under uncultured Anoxybacillus sp. RNAcentral's name for it is "bacterial SSU rRNA". It matches the Rfam family "Bacterial small subunit ribosomal RNA", at positions 929 to 1382 of the family's 1533-position model. The record is from RNAcentral. Lineage: Bacteria; Bacillati; Bacillota; Bacilli; Caryophanales; Anoxybacillaceae.